RNAcentral lists this ribosomal RNA (280 nucleotides) under uncultured bacterium. Its description in RNAcentral is "partial 16S ribosomal RNA". It matches the Rfam family "Bacterial small subunit ribosomal RNA", at positions 524 to 796 of the family's 1533-position model. The record is from RNAcentral.
CACGUAGGGUCCGAGCGUUGUCCGGAGUUACUGGGCGUAAAGCGCGCGCAGGCGGUCGCGCACAUCGGCGGUGAAAGCCCCCCGCUCAACGGGGGGAGGGUCCGUCGAGAUGGCGCGACUGGAGGCAGGGAGAGGGCGGUGGAAUUCCGGGUGUAGUGGUGAAAUGCGUAGAGAUCCGGAGGAACACCAGUGGCGAAGGCGGCCGCCUGGACCUGGACCUGACGCUGAGGCGCGAAGGCGCGGGGAGCGAACGGGGAUUAAGAUGACCCCGAGUAGUACC